This 57-nucleotide transfer RNA is filed under the name Camelus bactrianus (Bactrian camel). It matches the Rfam family "tRNA", at positions 8 to 63 of the family's 71-position model. From Rfam's summary of the family: Transfer RNA (tRNA) molecules are approximately 80 nucleotides in length. RNAcentral also lists the same sequence under 2 other names. The record is from Rfam by way of RNAcentral. Lineage: Eukaryota; Metazoa; Chordata; Mammalia; Artiodactyla; Camelidae.
UGGCUCAGUGGUAGAGCACAUGCCUAGCAUACAUGAGGUCCUGGGUUCAAUCCCCAG